CCUACGGGAGGCAGCAGUGAGGAAUAUUGGUCAAUGGACGAGAGUCUGAACCAGCCAAGUAGCGUGAAGGAUGACUGCCCUACGGGUUGUAAACUUCUUUUAUAUGGGAAUAAAAUGUUCCACGUGUGGGUUUUUGUAUGUACCAUAUGAAUAAGGAUCGGCUAACUCCGUGCCAGCAGCCGCGGUAAUACGGAGGAUCCGAGCGUUAUCCGGAUUUAUUGGGUUUAAAGGGAGCGUAGGUGGAUUGUUAAGUCAGUUGUGAAAGUUUGCGGCUCAACCGUAAAAUUGCAGUUGAAACUGGCAGUCUUGAGUACAGUAGAGGUAGGCGGAAUUCGUGGUGUAGCGGUGAAAUGCUUAGAUAUCACGAUGAACUCCGAUUGCGAAGGCAGCUCACUGGACUGCAACUGACACUGAGGCUCGAAAGUGUGGGUAUCAAACAGGAUUAGAUACCCGUGUAGUC
RNAcentral lists this ribosomal RNA (460 nucleotides) under uncultured bacterium. RNAcentral describes it as "partial 16S ribosomal RNA". It matches the Rfam family "Bacterial small subunit ribosomal RNA", at positions 338 to 795 of the family's 1533-position model. The record is from RNAcentral.